GACGAACGCUGGCGGCGUGCUUAACACAUGCAAGUCGAACGGAAAGGCCCCUUUGGGGGUACUCGAGUGGCGAACGGGUGAGUAACACGUGAGUAACCUGCCCUUGACUUCGGGAUAACUUCAGGAAACUGGGGCUAAUACCGGAUAGGAAUCCUUGCUGCAUGGUGGGGGUUGGAAAGCUUCGGCGGUUUUGGAUGGACUCGCGGCUUAUCAGCUUGUUGGUGGGGUAGUGGCUUACCAAGGCUUUGACGGGUAGCCGGCCUGAGAGGGCGACCGGCCACAUUGGGACUGAGAGACGGCCCAGACUCCUACGGGGGGCAGCAGUGGGGAAUCUUGCCCAAUGGGCGGAAGCCUGAUGCAGCAACGCCGCGUGCGGGAUGACGGCCUUCGGGUUGUAAACCGCUUUCAGCAGGGGCGAAGCUUGUGGUGACGGUACCUGCAGAAGAAGCACCGGCUAACUACGUG
RNAcentral lists this ribosomal RNA (465 nucleotides) under uncultured bacterium. RNAcentral's name for it is "partial 16S ribosomal RNA". It matches the Rfam family "Bacterial small subunit ribosomal RNA", at positions 28 to 507 of the family's 1533-position model. The record is from RNAcentral.